GAUGAACGCUGGCGGCGUGCUUAACACAUGCAAGUCGAACGGAAAGGCCCAAGCUUGCUUGGGUACUCGAGUGGCGAACGGGUGAGUAACACGUGGGUGAUCUGCCCUGCACUUCGGGAUAAGCCUGGGAAACUGGGUCUAAUACCGGAUAGGACCACUUCUUGGAUGUUGUGGUGGAAAGUUUUUUCGGUGUGGGAUGAGCUCGCGGCCUAUCAGCUUGUUGGUGGGGUAAUGGCCUACCAAGGCGUCGACGGGUAGCCGGCCUGAGAGGGUGUACGGCCACAGUGGGACUUAGAUACGGCCCAGACUCCCACGGGAGGCAGCAGUGGGGAAUAUUGCACAAUGGGCGCAAGCCUGAUGCAGCGACGCCGCGUGGGGGAUUACGGCCUUCGGGUUGUAAACUCCUUUCGCUAGGGACGAAGCGUUUUGUGACGGUACCUGGAGAAGAAGCACCGGCUAACUACGUG
Molecule: ribosomal RNA, 467 nt
Filed under: uncultured bacterium
Lineage: Bacteria
Description: partial 16S ribosomal RNA
Rfam family: Bacterial small subunit ribosomal RNA
Source: RNAcentral